GAUGAACGCUGGCGGCGUGCCUAAUACAUGCAAGUCGAGCGAACAGACGAGGAGCUUGCUCCUCUGACGUUAGCGGCGGACGGGUGAGUAACACGUGGAUAACCUACCUAUAAGACUGGGAUAACUUCGGGAAACCGGAGCUAAUACCGGAUAAUAUAUUGAACCGCAUGGUUCAAUAGUGAAAGACGGUUUUGCUGUCACUUAUAGAUGGAUCCGCGCCGCAUUAGCUAGUUGGUAAGGUAACGGCUUACCAAGGCAACGAUGCGUAGCCGACCUGAGAGGGUGAUAGGCCACACUGGAACUGAGACACGGUCCAGACUCCUACGGGAGGCAGCAGUAGGGAAUCUUACGCAAUGGGCGAAAGCAUGACGGAGCAACGCCGAGUGAGUGAUGAAGGUCUUCGGAUCGUAAAACUCUGUUAUUAGGGAAGAAAAAAUGUGUAAGUAAAUAUGCACGUCUUGACGGUAACUAAUCAGAAAGCCACGGCUAACUACGUG
This 497-nucleotide ribosomal RNA is filed under the name uncultured bacterium. Its description in RNAcentral is "partial 16S ribosomal RNA". It matches the Rfam family "Bacterial small subunit ribosomal RNA", at positions 28 to 507 of the family's 1533-position model. The record is from RNAcentral.